UGGCAAAUGAUAUUUUUUUGUGUGGGUGGUCGUAUUUUUUCAUAUUUUAUUUGGUCUGUGGUUGGACUGUUAAAAAAUGUUUAUUAUGGGUAGUGGGUAGUUUCUAUUGUUUUUUAAUUUUGUGCCACUUUUCAGAAUAUUUUUAUUGUCGCUCUUGUCGUGUUGGUUACAAAACGUCGGAGGGAAAAUUGAAAACGUGCUUUCGAAAUGCUGCUUUCGAAAUCGAAAGUAACAUAGAACUAUUCGAGUUGUCGCUCUUUGCAGCGCAUAACUUUCCAUUACGGCACUCUUCAAAUUAGAGGCGCGUUUAAUAGGGUCCCUUUGGACGUGAUGGCGGCGAACUCUGUUCUGUAGAUUAUUACAGUUUAAAGUGCAUCGAUUUUGGGAAUAUUUUGAAACCAAUAGGUAUUCCGUUUUCUAAUAAAAAUAGGCAAACCUUAGUUGAUUUAAACGAGGGUACCGAUGCGUUAUAUUUAUCAGUCGGUGUGAUGGUGAUAUAGAGGCCUCCGGGCGCGGGCUCCAUUUGAAGACGAACGAUUCGUGGAAAAACAUAUCCAUACCCAUUUCAUGAUAAUAGCAUCAUUUGGACUCCCAAUCUUUCCAACAUUCCCGCCAUAGAUGCCUUUGAUUGUUGAUGUGACAUCGUUUCUUCAGAACUACUGUGAUACAAUGUCGCACAGGCAUUACCGCGUCAUUGACUAGAAUGUUUGUCCCGAAAACCUCACGAGAUUUGUACCGUUUUCAUUUUUAAAAAUAUUUUUGUGGUGGGUCUGGUUAGUUUUUUUUUUUUAUUAGAUGGGUCAUUGUAAAAUGAGUUUAUUAAUUUGAUGGGACAUGGGGUAAUUUUUUAUUUUUUUUUUUAUGGGUGCUUGGUAUAUACAAAAGGUGCCU
Molecule: long non-coding RNA, 891 nt
Organism: Ostrea edulis (European flat oyster)
Lineage: Eukaryota; Metazoa; Mollusca; Bivalvia; Ostreida; Ostreidae
Exons: 2
Source: RefSeq, a predicted model, not a curated record